This is a long non-coding RNA of Cavia porcellus (domestic guinea pig), 3588 nucleotides long. RefSeq lists it as uncharacterized. The record is from RefSeq and is a predicted model, not a curated record. The transcript has 4 exons. NCBI's taxonomy places the organism in Eukaryota, Metazoa, Chordata, Mammalia, Rodentia, Caviidae.
UGUAGGUACAAGGGGGGCCCCAGCUUGGGGGACCUGCAGGUGGCUAACUGAGAGAACAGAGCAGCAGGCAGGACCGAUGAGAGAAUGAGCAAGUCUCAAGAUCUAAGAAGUGGGGUGAAAGGUUCAGAAACCAGGGAAAUCACCCUCUGUAUUACCAGAGACAGACCAGCGCUUGGGAUGUAAGUUCUCUUUAUGUACACCUGGGGCUGAAGGAAGAGGGGACCACAUAUCUAUGGUAGGCAGAAUGGCCUACAGGGACUGCCUCAUUUGCUCUUCAGUGAACCUGAGGAAUCACUAAUCUUGCUGCCAUUUUACAGAUGUGGAGACUGAGGCUCAGAGGCUUAAAGUUCCUUACCUGAGGUAUGAUGGCAAGCGAGUGAGUGUCAAAAUCUGAACUCAGCUCUGUGCGACUCAGGAACCCCCCCAGUUCUUCCCAGGAAGCCUUUCAGUGAGGUGACUGUGAGGAUGGAGAGAAAAGAGGCCAAAGAAGAGCCUGGUGCCAGGCCUGCACACAGUCGAUGCCCAGGGGACAGUGUGGGGCAGGCCUCUUACAGAGCUCGCUGCUUCCUGGACUUGCUCCCAGAAGCCCACACACACCCUGGACCUGAGCCAGUCAAGUGUCAGCUCAUCCACCGCCUGGCAAGCAGCUGCCCUGUCCUCCAUCCACCAAACAAGCCCAAGGCCCUGCCUACCUCGGCCACUCCUCCUGCCCACCUCUGCACAUGCUCCCUUCCCAAGCCCAGCCAGCUCCACCAGGGGCCUCCCUGCCUGCCCCAUUCCUGCUCAGAUCUGCCCUGGCCUCCUUGCAGCUCCCCCUGCUGUGCUCAGUUUCUCUAAAUCUGAUUAUCUUUCUGUCUGCUUAAAAACCUUCCAUGGCUCUGCACUGCCUUCCAAAGUAAAGGACCAUCCGAGUGGCUCCGUGUCCUCACAGUGCCACUCAGAAACGUGCCAGAUGAAAAAACAAGCUUGGAACCAGGCAUGGUGGUGCAUGCCUGUAAUCCCAUCACUUGGGAGGCUGAGGCAUGAGAAUCAUCAUGAGUUCAAGGCCAGUCUGGGCUACCUAAGAGUUCAAGGUCAAGCUGCACUAUAUAGCAAGUCCUUGUCUAAAAAGAAGAAGAAGAAGAAGAGGAGGAGAAAGAAGAAGGGGAGGAGGAGGAAGAAGAAGAAGGAGAAGAGAGACAGAGAGAGAAGAGAGAGAGAGAGAGAGAAAAGAAAGCCUCAGAGAGAUGGAGUGAUUUGCCUGUAGACACACAGUAAGGAAUGAGUUGCAUUCAGGUUUGAGCCCAGGACUGUUUGGCCCCCGCCCUCAUCACCAAGCCCCACAAUGUCAAACCCAGGAGCACUCACGUUGGGACCUGCCUCACAGUUGGUGUGUCAGCAGUCGGGGACCAGUGCUGAGGCCUCCAGGAUAGAACACCAGAGUCCCCCUCUCACCUCCAGCCGCUCCCAAGCUGGAGCAGUGAUGGGUGGGACAGAAGAUCACUGGGACUUUCCUUCUACUGAUUUCUUCCCAGCUGAUAGAAAAGGAACUUUGGGCAGCAAGAAUAAGACCCAUGGAGAAUCCCCCUCUGGGAAAGCUGCCUGGAUUUGUUCACUAGCUUUAUUUUUCCCAGCAAAGGUAGGAACCCACCUGCCAGGGUCUGGCUUCUGUGGCCUCCCACGGACUUUCAUGCAGACUUUGGGAAAAUAAUGAGCCCUGAGGUCAGCAGGGUGACUCUGAGAAGGGCGUUAGGCAGGCCAGGAAGAUGUUUCCUAGGGAACAGGUUUUGAGCCUGUAAUCCCAGCACUGUGGGAGGCUGAGAUAGCAGGACCUCAAGUUUGAGCCCAGCCCAGGCAAUUUAGCAAGACUCUGUCUCAAGAUAAAAAGGACUGAGGACGAAGCUCUGUGUGGCUCCGGGUUCAAUCUUGAUAUUAGAAAAAAUAAAAAGGUCUGACAGUGAAGACGGGCUGCUGGGGAGGGAGUGAAUCAUCCCAAGCAGCAGGCACUGGGUGCUCCCUGGUUAGAAAAUCCAGAGGCCGAGUCCCUGCACCAUCACACCAUCAUUGUGACCACCACCACCAUUGUCGUCACCCCCUUGAUUAGACAACCUUUGGAUCAGACAUUCGAAGAUAUGACCUCUUGCGUGGUGACCGCAGGCAGCACAGCAGAAACGGCAGCUUUCCCCUUGGGGCCUCUCCCUGCCUAGGGUCUGCCGGCUCUGGGCAGCCCUGGCCUCGCUGUGGUCCGAGCGCGCGCCCUCUGCUGGUCGUUUGCUGAUUCUGCAGAGCCACGUUCCCUCCGCCCAAGGGAGGCCCUCAGAGUGCUUGCCAUAGAGGGAGCGCCCAGAGCACCAGACCUUCGUUUGGUUUUUGGCUUUUGUUCUGUUUUGUUUAGUUUCUGAGAUGAGACAGUGUCUCGCUACUUAGUCACUUUGAACUUGCGAUCUUCCCGCCUCAGCCUCCCGAGUGCCGGGAUCACAGGCGUGCACCACCACACCUGGCAUCGGAUCGUCGCUCGGAAUCUCACUUCCCCCAUCUGCCCGUGAAAACAGACGGGAGGUCCCCCAGCAGGUCAGGGGCUAAGGCGAAGAGCGAGCGGACAUUUGUCCCGCUCCCGUCUCUGUUAGGGAUGUGGUCUCCACUUUCUAUCACCACCCUCACUGAUGGCCCCCGAAAUACAUGACCCUACCACUCUUGAGAGAUCUGAGUGGCCGUGGGGUUCACUGACGCUCUUGUCACCGAAGGCAAAGCUCGGGUCCUUGGCUUGGCUUUGUGACACCGAGCAAGAUUCCCGAGCCCUGAGCAAUGCCAAGCGGGAGCCUCCCUUUGCAGAACCGAGAGGCGCGCGCACCCGGGGGUCUGCCUCCCCCGAUUAGAAGCCUCUCCUCCCGCCCUGCCCCUCCCUCCUCUCCUCCCGCCCUCGCAGCCAUUACCAUCUUCCUUCCAAGGAAGACUCCGGAGCAGCAGAGGUGUUGCUGCUGGCUCAGCGUCGUUCAGCCAGGAGUCUCUGGAUUCAGAAUCUGGACUUCGGAGAGCAACCUCUGCCCUGCUCUCUCUCCUGCUCUUCUCUCCGCACUCUUAUUCGUUUCACCCAUUGGCUCCUCCUACAAAAUAGUGUCCCGCGCUGUCCAACAAUUUGUCUCCAUGUGUCUGUUGCAACCGCUGGGGACAAGACCCCGGCAUUUCCGGCCCUUCAACGGCAGCAGCCUCCUGGCUGCUUCAUGGGUCACUGGGCCCCACUCCUGUUUUCUGCAGCCUGGGCCGCACGUUGACGCACACAAAAUGACACUUUCGAAAUGUGAAUUGCGGCAGGAGUGGUAGCACAAGCUCCUUGUAAUCCUAGCAGUGGGGAGGCUGAGGCAGGAGGAUCUGCCUGAGCUCAAGGCCAGCUGGGCUACAUAGUGAGUUCAAGGCUAGCUAAAAAUACAUAGCAGGAUCCUGUGUCAAAAAAUCCCCCAAAGAGAAUGACAAUGUGCAAUGUAUGUACCAUUGUUGCCCCUUGACUCUCAAGUGUUGAAAUUUUUAGAAAAAUGUUUGUCUUUUAUUCUCCUUGAAAUAAAAUGGAUUGGAGGGAACCCCAAAAUAAAAAUUAAAAAAUAUGUAGCUCUA